GCCCGGCGGGGCUCCCGCCCGCAGGGGCCGGGGAGCGAGCCUGGGGCCUGCCCGGCCCGGGGCGGGGGUGGGCGGGCCUGCCUAGCGGCCAGGGCGGCUGGCUGUGGGGUGCGCCCCGAGGGCUCCCUCCCCUGGUUUUUCGGAUCGGUACUGCAGGGGAAGCGCUUGUGCGGCCUGAGCGGCGCCGGUUCGCUGCAAGGCGCUGCCGUGCGUCAGGGCUCCGAGAGGGUGUACUUGUCCCCGGGGUGACUUCCUCGUCUCAGCUCUUCCCGCUCUCUCCCUCUUUCCUUGACGUCCCCUUUCCGGAGGGCACCGUCUAUCUCCGGGCGCAGAGCCGUCGGGAAGCACCCUGCUUCCACUGGCUGCCAGCCCCGGCCACCCUGGGCCCGGCCCGGGAGGGAGCGAGCUGCAGCGAGGCAGUGCUGGGGACAGCGGUCCGAUGGAGCUCACCAUGCCUCCCGCUCUGGCCGGCCAUUCCCAGGUCCUCCUCAUCUGACUGCACCACAGGGGUCUCAGCCCCCUCCUCGCUGGUGUCCAGGCUGUUCAGAUCCGUGGAGACAGAGGAUGUGGAAGAAAUGCGUGACUUGCUCUCUGCUCCACUGGGCACUUGCAGGGUGAUUUCCUCUGGGCACUGGCUGGCAUCUGCCCCUGGAGGAGAGAGCGCCCAGAAACACGUCCACAGUGUCAUGGUCUGACAGGUCCAUCAUGUCCAUCUGCUCCAGCAUGUCCACAUUCACCUCCAUGGAGGAAAUGCUGCCUAAGGGGGCUGCAGAGACAAAGGCCAGUGAAAAGGUGAGACAUAGGGAAGAAGAAAUCCACAUCAUGCUGGAACACCUCCUCAAAGAACUUCUGCCGGUCCCGUAGUUUCAGCUGCUGCUGCUGCAUCUGCUCUGCAUCCAGGCUCCGCUGCGCCUGCUCCAUGUCAGCUGGGGAGAAAGUUCAACGUCAGUGCCUGUGUCCUCGGCUUGCACAGGAGGGAGUGAUGGGAGCCCUCGGGCUGUUGCUGAAGGAGCUUGUCGCUGCAUCUCUGGGCCUGGUACUACCCUUUCCAGUUGGGUACCCAAACAGCAAAGACCCAAAUGGCACAGAGGGUCUGCGGUUGGUGGCCCCGGCUGUUCCCAGGCUGGUGUUUGACCUCAGCCAUUCCAGAUUUCCUCUCUGCUCCUCUUGGCCCAUCCGGCACAAGGAAAAUGUGAUUACUGGAGCAGGCGGUGCAGUAACCAAGGAAACCAAACAAACAUCCUCUGCUCUGCCUAAGCGUGGCCCAAACCCUCUGCUCCUCCAGGCUGGGGAGGCGGGAGCAGAGGGAGCAGCAUCCCCACCCUGUCUGGCAGGAGUGGGGGUGAGGAUAGCAGGGGCCAGGCUGCCAGCAAUAUGUAGCAGCAUAGGACCCAAACAGGGAAGAGAUAGUGGGCCUGGUGAGAUGUCCUGGAGAUCAAUGUCACAUCUUCCUGAGAGCCUUUCCAGGGCUCCUCUGCACCCUGUUUUUGGGGCAUGCUACAGCUAAACCCCAUCAUCUGCAGGCACCUGCCCCAGGAGGCUGGGUUGUGCCUGCAGCACAGUGUGGGGAUGCACCGUGACUCAGGGCCAGUCACCAUGUGGUUUCUGGAAGAGGCUCUGGUCCUCUUCUGGAUGCUCAGCAUCUUCCUGAUGCCCAGGGCAGUGAUUCUAGCUGCCUGAAGGGGCUUUUGCCUCGGUAUGUCCGACCUAAGCACUGGGUGCCUGCUCUGGUGCCGAGACUUGAGAUUCGGUGCGCUGUGCAGCACCCAGGCUAACAGCUGUGGUGGCAGAUGCACCGUGCUGGUGAAGCAGCUCAGUGCCGUGGGGGUAAGGCAAAACCCUCCUCUCUCCCCUGUGCUACGUGCAAAAGAGAAUGGAGCCAAGGACAAGGAGGGGGUGACCAGGGCGCUGAUUACAGAGCUGGCUCCUUUCAGCAGCUAGAGCCAGCCCUGUCCUGUCUGUCCCAGGCAGAGCUCUACUCCCUAGCACAGCUGUGCUGAAUCCAUGGCAAACUCUGGCAGCUCUGCAACCGAGGAGAGCCCAUCGGGCUCCAGCUUCAGGAUGCUGCGCUCAAGGCGGAGGCUGCUUUGGCUCCCAGCUUCAGGGCGACAGACCGGCUCUCCGUGCAACAUCUUGCCAAAGGGACUCCAGCGUGGAGGUAAGGAGGAAAGUCUCUAAAUCCUCCUGCAUCACACUUACAAAAUAAACCAAAAUGCUAGUG
This is a long non-coding RNA of Falco peregrinus (peregrine falcon), 2221 nucleotides long. RefSeq lists it as uncharacterized. The transcript is spliced from 5 exons. The record is from RefSeq and is a predicted model, not a curated record. Lineage: Eukaryota; Metazoa; Chordata; Aves; Falconiformes; Falconidae.